Molecule: ribosomal RNA, 556 nt
Filed under: uncultured bacterium
Lineage: Bacteria
Description: partial 16S ribosomal RNA
Rfam family: Bacterial small subunit ribosomal RNA
Source: RNAcentral
AGGGAAUCUUCCACAAUGGACGCAAGUCUGAUGGAGCAACGCCGCGUGAGUGAAGAAGGUUUUCGGACCGUAAAGCUCUGUUGUUGGUGAAGAAGGAUAGAGGUAGUAACUGGCCUUUAUUUGACGGUAAUCAACCAGAAAGUCACGGCUAACUACGUGCCAGCAGCCGCGGUAAUCGUAGGUGGCAAGCGUUGUCCGGAUUUAUUGGGCGUAAAGCGAGCGCAGGCGGAAGAAUAAGUCUGAUGUGAAAGCCCUCGGCUUAACCGAGGAAUUGCAUCGGAAACUGUUUUUCUUGAGUGCAGAAGAGGAGAGUAGAACUCCAUGUGUAGCGGUGGAAUGCGUAGAUAUAUGGAAGAAUACCAGUGGCGAAGGCGGCUCUCUGGUCUGCAACUGACGCUGAGGCUCGAAAGCAUGGGUAGCGAACAGGAUUAGAUACCCUGGUAGUCCAUGCCGUAAACGAUGAGUGCUAAGUGUUGGGAGGCUUCCGCCUCUCAGUGCUGCAGCUAACGCAUUAAGCACUCCGCCUGGGGGAGUACGACCGCAAGGUUGAAACUCU